RNAcentral lists this ribosomal RNA (259 nucleotides) under uncultured bacterium. RNAcentral's name for it is "partial 16S ribosomal RNA". It matches the Rfam family "Bacterial small subunit ribosomal RNA", at positions 795 to 1052 of the family's 1533-position model. The record is from RNAcentral.
CCACGCAGUAAACGAUGAAUACUAGUUUUUUGCGAUAUACUGUAAGAGACUAAGCGAAAGCGAUAAGUAUUCCACCUGGGGAGUACGCCGGCAACGGUGAAACUCAAAGGAAUUGACGGGGGCCCGCACAAGCGGAGGAACAUGUGGUUUAAUUCGAUGAUACGCGAGGAACCUUACCCGGGAUUGAAAUGUAUACGCUGGAUUUGUGAAAGCGAGUCUAUUCACUUCGGUGACGUAUAUGUAGGUGCUGCAUGGUUGU